This 217-nucleotide ribosomal RNA is filed under the name uncultured bacterium. Its description in RNAcentral is "partial 16S ribosomal RNA". It matches the Rfam family "Bacterial small subunit ribosomal RNA", at positions 328 to 539 of the family's 1533-position model. The record is from RNAcentral.
ACGCUCGACACCUACGGGAGGAGCAGUGAGGAAUAUUGGUCAAUGGGCGCUAGCCUGAACCAGCCAAGUAGCGUGAAGGAUGAAGGCUCUAUGGGUCGUAAACUUCUUUUAUAUAAGAAUAAAGUGCAGUAUGUAUACUGUUUUGUAUGUAUUAUAUGAAUAAGGAUCGGCUAACUCCGUGCCAGCAGCCGCGGUAAUCUGAGCGGGCUGGCAAGGC